GAUGAACGCUGGCGGCGUGCCUAAUACAUGCAAGUCGAGCGAACAGAUGAGGAGCUUGCUCCUCUGACGUUAGCGGCGGACGGGUGAGUAACACGUGGAUAACCUACCUAUAAGACUGGGAUAACUUCGGGAAACCGGAGCUAAUACCGGAUAAUAUAUUGAACCGCAUGGUUCAAUAGUGAAAGACGGUUUUGCUGUCACUUAUAGGUGGAUCCGCGCCGCAUUAGCUAGUUGGUAAGGUAACGGCUUACCAAGGCAACGAUGCGUAGCCGACCUGAGAGGGUGAUCGGCCACACUGGAACUGAGACACGGUCCAGACUCCUACGGGAGGCAGCAGUAGGAAAUCUUCCGCAAUGGGCGAAAGCCUGACGGAGCAACGCCGCGUGAGUGAUGAAGGUCUUCGGAUCGUAAAACUCUGUUAUUAGGGAAGAACAAAUGUGUAAGUAACUAUGCACGUCUUGACGGUACCUAAUCAGAAAGCCACGGCUAACUACGUG
This 497-nucleotide ribosomal RNA is filed under the name uncultured bacterium. RNAcentral's name for it is "partial 16S ribosomal RNA". It matches the Rfam family "Bacterial small subunit ribosomal RNA", at positions 28 to 507 of the family's 1533-position model. The record is from RNAcentral.